GAAUAGAUCACACAGAGAUUGAACAAUGGGCAUCAACUCAGCUGGACAAUGAAUUGUGAGGCAGAGCUGUUUGAUUUUCUGGACACGUCCUCAUAAGGCUGUGGACAGUUUGAAUUCCAGCGCGGACUCCCAGACACCCGGCACAAGUUAUGUGAGAAAAUUAGUACAGAAUCAGAAAGGAGAGUCUGGGGGGUGGGGAGGGGGGGGGGCCGCGGAGGGAAGUCGAUGGAAAGAACUGCAGUCUUCGUCUAGUUGAUUUUAUUUUAACCCCUUACAAUUUCACUGACGCUCGAGCAAAACCUAACGCGCUAGGGGAAUCAAGAAGAACUAAAAACAGCAAAAAAACCUAUAAGAUCAUCACCGGAAGGAUUUCCAAGUUUUUAAAAAAUUCUUAAAUGCAAAAUUCACGCAAUCUCUGACUGCGCAAUGGACGAGGGACUAAUGGAGAGGAUUUCAUUGGUCAAGAACAUAUGCUCAAGGCCAGGAAGAGAGAUGCACCGUUUGUCUGUGAAUCUUGACAGGAAACUGACACACAUCAACAUCUGGGCCUUUAGUCAUAAGAAAUCUCAAUGUCUUCAACCAACAUGAUUCACAUCCUGAUGACAGAUAGAAUAUCUGAUCAGAAACUCACUAAGUGCCCCAACAGCAGAUGCGACCCGUUGGUGCCAUUUCUCCAAACAUACCCAAUGCGUCUCUUGACUAAAGCUUGUGAACUUUAUUAGUGUGAGUGCACUGUCUGAUUAGACUACUAUCCACAAUAACCAUUGUGCCAAGUCUGAUGAGAGUUAUAAAGAGUUGGAAGAUUAACAGCAGGAAAAGCUCUGGAUCUUCUUCAGAGUUCCACCAUUCUCUGAACAUCGAUCUGACAACAGCAUCUCCGAGAGAUCAUCGCUUAUGACCAACUAUGGCACGUUUCUUCAGUGAGGACUGGUGAUGGGGAAUGUUACAACACAAGAUAUUGGCUCAAUCUGUAGAAUGCUUGCCUCAGUAUAUGAAGCCUGUAACCUUGAGAUAUAAAUGCUAUAAUGUACUGUGUAAAUGUUUUGAGACUCAAUUGAUGCACUGAA
Molecule: long non-coding RNA, 1067 nt
Organism: Stegostoma tigrinum
Lineage: Eukaryota; Metazoa; Chordata; Chondrichthyes; Orectolobiformes; Stegostomatidae
Exons: 5
Source: RefSeq, a predicted model, not a curated record